RNAcentral lists this long non-coding RNA (3885 nucleotides) under Homo sapiens (human). RNAcentral's name for it is "HSALNT0057672". Lineage: Eukaryota; Metazoa; Chordata; Mammalia; Primates; Hominidae. The record is from RNAcentral.
CUAAUUGACAAAAACAAAUGUAGACAGGUUCUUGAAAGUGAUGUUUAUUACUAAUGAAAAUAGUACAGUUGUAUACAUAGGAAAACAUCCUUAUUUAUUCAUAAAGACUUUAAAAUGUUUAUUUCUAAUUAUCCAAUAAUAAGACUAGAACAUUUCAAUAAAAUAGUACAGUUAACAUGAAUUUAUUUGAUUCAAACCCUGGAUAAAAUGUCAUUAUAAACAAGGUGAAAAAGAAAAGUCCUUCAUUAUCCAUACUCGAUAUUAAACAUAUAUUACUGUAUGUACACUAUUGCUUAAGUAUCAUCACAUAGUCCUGAUAUAUGAAAAAUUAUACCUGUAUUCUCUGAUACCACAAUUAUUUUUUCUAUAUAUAAUCUUAAUCUUUAAAGAAGUAAUUAAACAUGAGAAUAAAAACACCAGGAUGAGGAAUCAUUUAACCUAGGCUGUAGCUAUAACUGUGUGGGCUGAGAGCAGUGUUUUUAACCAGUCUUACUAUCCUGAGGGGAGUGGUUUAACCUGUCUCUUAUUAACUCAUAGCAGUAAUGUAAGGUUUUACAAAAUGCAUGACUCAAGGAAAUUUCCAGGCAAUUCUUUACAUCAUGGUACCCUCCCAUAUUUCCACCUUCCGCCAGGAUAUCCUUUGUGGAAUACAAUGCAAUGGAUUUGAGAAUAGUGACCGUCACAUCAUUUUUCUGCAUUUAUUACACAAUUGGGAGAAUAAGCUAGGAUCUUGACUCACUGCAGCUGGAUUGUAAAUGAGGAAGGCUGGCCCCACCCAUUCCUACUGGGAAUUGUUAGAAAUGUUUUAGAAAAAAAUAAAACAAAACAACCCGUUUGGGGUUUGUGUUUUUGUUUUUUUGCUAAAACAUCUCAAUUUAAUAGUUAUUCUACUUCAUUAGCUCUUUCAUUAUGGAAUAAAUAUGUUGUCUUCUCUUCCGUUGCAAAAUGAAAAUUCAAUUCAGAGACAGAAAGAUGUCAAAGUACCCAUUGCUGAAAACAGAAAUAACAUAAAGCUACCAAAAAAAUCAUGAAAUGGAAGUCAAACUUAUAAAACAAGCAUACAAAUGAAUAAUUAGUUCAGGUAUCAUACUUCAGCCAACCUACUUUUAGAGCCUACAAAGAAUAUUUGUGCAGUUUCCAGCUUUUUGUUAGAGGUAAUAUUAAGUCAGAGUUGUUCAAACACAUUACAAUUUAGUGUGGCAAAAAAGAGAGAAAAGAAUAAAAAAGAGAAAGUGGGGAGGAGCCAACCCAUGGUGACAGAUAAUGCAGAAGAAGAAAACAGAAGGUGAGAAUAAAAUCAGGUAAAGCCUGCACUUGUUUUAUUAUAUAAAUUAAAUGGGGCCAGGUGCGGUGGCUCAUGCCUGUAAUCCCAGCACUUUGGGAGGCCAAGGCAGGUGGAUCACCUGAGGUCAGGAGUUUGAGACCAGGCUGGCCAACAUGGUGACGGUGAAACCCCAUCUCUACUAAAAAUAUAAAAAUUAGCUGGGCAUGGUGGUGGGUGUCUGUAACCCCAGCUACUCAGGAAGCUGAAGCACGAGAAUCGCUUGAACCCAGGAGGCAGAGGUUGCCAGGAGCUGAGAUCGCCCCAUUGCACUCCAGCCUGGGUGACAGAGCGAGACUCCAUCUCAAAUAAUAAUAGUGAUAAAAAUGGGACUUCAGGCCACAUAAACGUGAACAAACACCCUUAAACCAUUGCAAUGGUGAAAAUGGAGCCCUAUUUAUCAAAUAAAUUCCCCUUUAUCCAUAACCCAUAAAAAAGGAUAGUGUAUAUAAUUCAAUUAUAAAGGCUACAUCUGUAAAACACCACAGUAUCUUACAACCUUUUAUAAUAACAUUUUUAAAAUGGUUAUUUACCAUGCAUUUUAUUGCUAACUGCAUUUUAGUAUUUUCACAUAAGGUGAUAGUCUUGUUGAAUAUUAUAUUGCUAGGUUAAGAAGAACGUUCUAAUACUCAGAAAAUUUCAUUCCUCAAUUGUGCAGUGUAAAUGACAGUUCAGCCUAAGACUUUUAAAUGAUGACAUGCCAUUAAAUCACCUUCGAGGAAGGUCUUUUAGAAAGAAGCUCUUUAGGGGUAGUUUUUUCCAUCAAACUAAUAGCUCCUUUAGUGCUUUGCUUUGUACAUGAGUGGAUGGAUCUUUGCUGGGCAAACUGUGUUCUUCAACCUUUCAACAGUGGUUCAGCUAUAGCAAAGGCAGGACAAAAGUUGUAUUCCUCAACUGAGGCCUCCUGUUCUUUCCCUGAUAGUUGAGGGGCUCCUUUACUCUUCCAUUUCAUUGGUGUGGAGCAGACAUUCAUGAAGAGCUAAGUGUUUUGCUCUUGCAUGAAAAGGUCACGCAAAAGGAAAUCAGAGAUGGUGACGUGUGUCAGAAUUCCCAAAUUCCCACUUCACUGCUUAGUUUGUGGAAAACAACAACCCUCCUCUGGCUCAGUUCGUGCUUCUCCUAAGUGUUCUGCAUGGUGACCUGCCCUAGAGGGAUUUGUGUCCAUCUGGAAUUCUUCCAGCAAGCACACAUUCACACAUACACACACACAACCUGUUAUCCAUACAUACUUUGCAAAAUACCUGGCCAUCUUCAAGGCUUUCACUAGCUUUACUGUGGCAUGCACUGAGCCCAGAUAUUUAGUUUCCGGUGUCCUCAUAAUGAGCAGAAUUGGCAGUCAUCAAGUUGAGAAAAAAAAAAGUGAACCAAGUAUUUUAUCUUAUGGUCAGUUUAUACUGGUUAUUUAUAUCUGGUCAGAAAUAAAUCAAAAUGUUCAGAAUUGGUUUUGGCAAGCAUGAAGACAUCUAGCAUAAAGUAUCUGCAUUAAUAAUAACCUAUUGCAUAUGCAAUUUAAUAUCAUGAUGAUGAUGAUUUGGCCUCCUCCUCUCCCCCUCCAAAGCAACCCAUUCAAAAAAAACACUAGGGGGAAAGAGGAAAAUUUCCAUUUUCUGUCAAAAUUUAUAUAAGGUAUGGACUUCCUAUCUGUUCAGUUUUUAAAAUAUUUUAAUUGUAAUAAAAGCUUUGCCCUGUUUUGUAUAAGCAGGAGUUAAUUUAGACAGGAGGUAUUACACAAAGGAGAAGCAAUGAAAAUGAGCUCAUCUAUAUUAUGUGAGGUAGUUAAGUGCUGUUUUCCAAAUUAAUACACCAGGAACUAGAGGAGAGACAGGAUUUGCCCAAGACAUCUUUAGAUUUCAGAAGCAAUCAGGGAACCUCAGUCCAGCAAUCAAGAAACAAAAUAUAUUCUCAGCACUGGGGUCUUGACCCGACACUCACUCCCUCCCUGCCCAUGUGAUUAAAUUUGUCUUUAGAUUAAUGGGAAUCUUCUAAACUUUAUAUAUAUAUAUAUAUAUAUAUAUAUAUAUAUAUAUAUAUAUAUAUAUAUAUAUGCAUUCAUCCUGAAAACUAAGAAAAAAAGGAUAUUAACAUAGUUAACAUAACAAUAACAUGGUCUUGAUUAAUAUGCUCAGGAAAUGCAAGACACUGAUAGAAGCAUAAAAAUACAACCCGAAUUCUAUCCUGCAGCAAAAAAGUUUGCUUUUUCUUUAGCAGUUUGAUCAAAAAAAAGAAAGAAUUUUAUUUAGAUGAAUGCCUGAUUAUAAACUAUCCAUUAAGACUAUUUCAAAGGUUUCCCCUUCUACCCAACAAUAACAAAUAUGCUCCAAAAUAUUCCCUUACUAAGCCAGACUUCUCCAUGGAAGAGUCUCACCUUAUUUUCCUAUUGAAAAACCCGAGGCACAGUUCUUAGGAGACACCCCCAGUGAUUCAGAAGCAGACAGCAACUGCAGCCCUAAAUCCUAGGUCCAGCUUUUUCUUAUAGAAUACUUUCCAGAGUUUACGUAGUUUUCAAUUUAUUUAAACACAGCAUUCAGUCUUUAUAGAAAUAAAAAUGGUAACAUCUCUUACUA